GAUGAGCGCUGGCGGCGUGCUUAACACAUGCAAGUCGAACGGGAUCCCAGGAGCUUGCUCCUGGGUGAGAGUGGCGAACGGGUGAGUAAUGCGUGACCGACCUGCCCCAUACACCGGAAUAGCUCCUGGAAACGGGUGGUAAUGCCGGAUGCUCCGACAUGACGCAUGUCGUGUCGGGAAAGAUUCAUCGGUAUGGGAUGGGGUCGCGUCCUAUCAGCUUGAUGGCGGGGUAACGGCCCACCAUGGCUUCGACGGGUAGCCGGCCUGAGAGGGCGACCGGCCACAUUGGGACUGAGAUACGGCCCAGACUCCUACGGGAGGCAGCAGUGGGGAAUAUUGCACAAUGGGCGCAAGCCUGAUGCAGCGACGCCGCGUGCGGGAUGACGGCCUUCGGGUUGUAAACCGCUUUUGACUGGGAGCAAGCCCUU
This 428-nucleotide ribosomal RNA is filed under the name uncultured bacterium. RNAcentral describes it as "bacterial SSU rRNA". It matches the Rfam family "Bacterial small subunit ribosomal RNA", at positions 28 to 455 of the family's 1533-position model. The record is from RNAcentral.